AUAAAAUUUGAUUUGAUUUGCAUUCAACUAAUGUAGAUAAACAACAACAUAUCACAGUCAAAGCAAGUAAGAAGUUUUUGAGAAUGUUGUUGAUGUUCGUCCGGCUACUUGCAAAUGUAUUUUCGUAUUUUAAAAUACAUGUAUUUGAAUUAAAUACAAUACUUUGGUCUUUAGGAUAUUUUGUAGUUGUAUUUUGUCAUUUAUGCUCGUCCUUGUCUGUGUCCUAUUUCCUGUCUAAGGGGAGGAUGUUCUGGCAGGUGUCUGGUCCUGGUGGAUGUGUUGACCAGCAACACCUCAGUGCCCUGCUCCAGGAGCUCAUCCAGGUCCCACGGCAGCCAGGAGAGGUGCCCGCCUUCGGAGGGAGCAACGUGGAGCCCAGCGUGGCCAGCUGCUUUCGCAUGGCUCCUGGGAAAACCUCCAUCCACUUCCUGGAGUGGAUGAGCCUGGAGCUCCAGUCCGUGGUGUGGCUGUCUGUGCUGCAGCGAGUGGUCCAGGCAGAGAACGCCUAACACCAGGCCAAGUGCUCCACCUGGAAACAGUUUCCCAUCAAGAGCUUUAGUCCACAGAUGCUGAGAUACGAUUGUCUCAUGUCCCAUCUGAGACCACCAAAGUGGGGGAUGUACAUCCACACAAUUCCUAGCCAACGCGUCUCCG
Molecule: non-coding RNA, 654 nt
Organism: Oncorhynchus mykiss (rainbow trout)
Lineage: Eukaryota; Metazoa; Chordata; Actinopteri; Salmoniformes; Salmonidae
Source: RefSeq, a predicted model, not a curated record